CCCCGGGCUCAACCUGGGAAUUGCGUUUGAUACUGGUAGACUUGAGUUCGGGAGAGGUGAGUGGAAUUCCCAGUGUAGAGGUGAAAUUCGUAGAUAUUGGGAAGAACACCGGUGGCGAAGGCGGCUCACUGGACCGAUACUGACGCUGAGGCGCGAAAGCGUGGGGAGCAAACAGGAUUAGAUACCCUGGUAGUCCACGCCGU
RNAcentral lists this ribosomal RNA (203 nucleotides) under bacterium Fuku2-ISO-28. RNAcentral's name for it is "partial 16S ribosomal RNA". It matches the Rfam family "Bacterial small subunit ribosomal RNA", at positions 601 to 803 of the family's 1533-position model. The record is from RNAcentral.